Schistosoma haematobium is the source of this 45-nucleotide non-coding RNA. The record is from Rfam. NCBI's taxonomy places the organism in Eukaryota, Metazoa, Platyhelminthes, Trematoda, Strigeidida, Schistosomatidae.
AUCCAGCUGACGAGUCUUAAAUAAAACAAAACGCAUGUCGUGGAU